AUUGAACGCUGGCGGCAGGCCUAACACAUGCAAGUCGAACGGUAACAGGAAGCAGCUUGCUGCUUCGCUGACGAGUGGCGGACGGGUGAGUAAUGUCUGGGAAACUGCCUGAUGGAGGGGGAUAACUACUGGAAACGGUAGCUAAUACCGCAUAACGUCGCAAGGCCAAAGAGGGGGACCUUAGGGCCUCUUGCCAUCGGAUGUGCCCAGAUGGGAUUAGCUAGUAGGUGGGGUAACGGCUCACCUAGGCGACGAUCCCUAGCUGGUCUGAGAGGAUGACCAGCCACACUGGAACUGAGACACGGUCCAGACUCCUACGGGAGGCAGCAGUGGGGAAUAUUGCACAAUGGGCGCAAGCCUGAUGCAGCCAUGCCGCGUGUAUGAAGAAGGCCUUCGGGUUGUAAAGUACUUUCAGCGGGGAGGAAGGGAGUAAAGUUAAUACCUUUGCUCAUUGACGUUACCCGCAGAAGAAGCACCGGCUAACUCCGUG
Molecule: ribosomal RNA, 490 nt
Filed under: uncultured bacterium
Lineage: Bacteria
Description: partial 16S ribosomal RNA
Rfam family: Bacterial small subunit ribosomal RNA
Source: RNAcentral